AGCUUUGUGUAGAAGACAGUAUUGUAGCCAGUGAGGUUUAUCUGAGGCAUGAUUAUUGCUAAUUGCAUUACUCUCGAACUG
Molecule: small nuclear RNA, 81 nt
Organism: Cavia aperea (Brazilian guinea pig)
Lineage: Eukaryota; Metazoa; Chordata; Mammalia; Rodentia; Caviidae
Gene: U4
Rfam family: U4 spliceosomal RNA
About the family: U4 small nuclear RNA (U4 snRNA) is a component of the major U2-dependent spliceosome. The structure of U4 snRNA from yeast and human has been reported.
Source: Ensembl